RNAcentral lists this ribosomal RNA (312 nucleotides) under Triticum aestivum (bread wheat). Its description in RNAcentral is "partial small subunit ribosomal RNA". Lineage: Eukaryota; Viridiplantae; Streptophyta; Magnoliopsida; Poales; Poaceae. The record is from RNAcentral.
CAGCUUUACAAGAUUCACGGGUUGCCCGGAGCGAUAGUUUCUGACAGGGAUCCGGUGUUCACAAGUAAUUUUUGGCAGGAAUUGUUUCGUGCAGCCGGCACUCAACUCAGACUCAGCAGAGCAAACCAUCCGCAGAUGGACGAACAAACUGAGUGUGUCAAUCAGUGCGUCGAGACUUUCCUCCGCUGUUUCACUCAAGCUUGUCCCAGGAGGUGGAGUUUCUGGACACCUCUAGCUCAGUUUUGGUACAACAACGCUCAUCAUUCAGCCAUUGGAGUGACGCCCUUCAGAGCCAUGUUUGGUUAUGAACCU